AGUUCUCGUUGAUGAUCGGUGCUUGCACCGAGAUUCAACAUGGAACGAGUGGCGGACGGGUGAGUAACACGUGGGUAACCUGCCCUUAAGUGGGGGAUAACAUUUGGAAACAGAUGCUAAUACCGCAUAGAUCCAAGAACCGCAUGGUUCUUGGCUGAAAGAUGGCGUAAGCUAUCGCUUUUGGAUGGACCCGCGGCGUAUUAGCUAGUUGGUGAGGUAAUGGCUCACAAGGCGAUGAUACGUAGCCGAACUGAGAGGUUGAUCGGCCACAUUGGGACUGAGACACGGCCCAAACUCCUACGGGAGGCAGCAGUAGGGAAUCUUCCACAAUGGACGCAAGUCUGAUGGAGCAACGCCGCGUGAGUGAAGAAGGCUUUCGGGUCGUAAAACUCUGUUGUUGGAGAAGAAUGGUCGGCAGAGUAACUGUUGUCGGCGUGACGGUAUCCAACCAGAAAGCCACGGCUAGCUACGUGCCAGCAGCCGCGGUAAUACGUAGGUGGCAAGCGUUAUCCGGAUUUAUUGGGCGUAAAGCGAGCGCAGGCGGUUUUUUAAGUCUGAUGUGAAAGCCCUCGGCUUAACCGAGGAAGCGCAUCGGAAACUGGGAAACUUGAGUGCAGAAGAGGACAGUGGAACUCCAUGUGUAGCGGUGAAAUGCGUAGAUAUAUGGAAGAACACCAGUGGCGAAGGCGGCUGUCUGGUCUGUAACUGACGCUGAGGCUCGAAAGCAUGGGUAGCGAACAGGAUUAGAUACCCUGGUAGUCCAUGCCGUAAACGAUGAAUGCUAGGUGUUGGAGGGUUUCCGCCCUUCAGUGCCGCAGCUAACGCAUUAAGCAUUC
RNAcentral lists this ribosomal RNA (836 nucleotides) under uncultured bacterium. RNAcentral's name for it is "bacterial SSU rRNA". It matches the Rfam family "Bacterial small subunit ribosomal RNA", at positions 60 to 869 of the family's 1533-position model. The record is from RNAcentral.